Molecule: transfer RNA, 85 nt
Filed under: Sutterella wadsworthensis
Lineage: Bacteria; Pseudomonadati; Pseudomonadota; Betaproteobacteria; Burkholderiales; Sutterellaceae
Also listed under: 1 other name
Description: tRNA-Leu
Rfam family: tRNA
About the family: Transfer RNA (tRNA) molecules are approximately 80 nucleotides in length.
Source: RNAcentral
GCCCGGGUGGCGGAAUGGUAGACGCAGUGGAUUCAAAAUCCACCGACUAAUAAUCGUGAGAGUUCGAGUCUCUCCCCGGGCACCA